RNAcentral lists this ribosomal RNA (253 nucleotides) under uncultured bacterium. RNAcentral's name for it is "partial 16S ribosomal RNA". It matches the Rfam family "Bacterial small subunit ribosomal RNA", at positions 524 to 776 of the family's 1533-position model. The record is from RNAcentral.
UACGUAGGGGGCAAGCGUUGUCCGGAAUCAUUGGGCGUAAAGCGUGUGUAGGCGGAUCGGUAAGUACCUUGUGAAAUCCCACAGCUUAACUGUGGAACUGCUUGGUAUACUGCCAGUCUUGAGCCAGCUAGGGGCUACCGGAACAAAUGGUGGAGCGGUGAAAUGCGUAGAUAUCAUUUGGAACGCCAAUGGUGAAAACAGGUAGCUGGGGCUGUGCUGACGCUGAGACACGAAAGCCAGGGGAGCGAACGGG